Molecule: long non-coding RNA, 1506 nt
Filed under: Bos indicus x Bos taurus (hybrid cattle)
Lineage: Eukaryota; Metazoa; Chordata; Mammalia; Artiodactyla; Bovidae
Description: lncRNA (ENSBIXG00005030650.1)
Source: RNAcentral
CUCUGGGGAGGGCUCUGGGCAGAGGCAGUGACUCAGGGAGGAAGGCACUGAGUGGCUUACUCCACAGCAUGGGCUGACUAGUCAAAAGGUGAUGGCGAGGGGCUGGCUGGACAGUUAUCCUGGGCAAAGGGGCCUGCACCUUCAUUCAUGAGGAAACAGGGAGAACUGAGCCAUCAACAAGCAGGCAGAUGUUGGCUUUUGAAAAGAGAACUCCCCCAGAUAUAACCUACAGACUUGUCCGCGGGUGUGGGUGGGGCUGAGUCUGCAUUUCUACCCAGGUCCCUACCAAGGUGACGCUGACGGAGCGUUCUGUGUGUGCUGGUGAGGACGCAGCCACUCUGGAGGGCGAGGAUGGCCUGGGGGCAGCAAGGCUGGCAAGGAGCUGACCGCAGGCCCUGUUGGGAUGGAGGGAGGUAACUCAGCGCUGGGCCUCAGUGGAAACUCCAUCAUGACCUUCCGAUUUGGGAGGCAGGUCAGAGGAAGUGGUCAGACCUGCGCCAGACAUGGGUCCCUUCUGAUGAAACACUUGGGAAACAAACAAUGGAAGGAAAAAUUACCCGUAAUUGCACAGCGCAGAGAUAAACACCGCUCGCUUCGGAGACGGCGUCUUCUCUCCUUCUGCCGCCUCCCUCGCUCCCCUCUCCUCGCACAUGUAUCAAAAACAGGAUCUUCUGUGUGCCUGCUCACACACAGACACACGCGCACACUCACACGCACACACGGCUGCUCCAUCCGCGACGCUCCCCGCCUCCCCGCGGCAGCUGCAUGGCGGUUCUGUCCAUCCGUUCCCCUUGGCCUCCGUCUCUCGGGCCACAGGCUGUGCUCUCCUCUCGUCCCUCCGCCUGCAGUCUUUGAACCACUCCUGCCUCUGCGGGCCCCUCUGCAGCCCGCCCUCCUCCCAGACGGAGCGACGUGGCCAGCACCCUCCAGCGGUUCCUGUUGCUCCACCAUGAAGCCCAGGCCUGCCCUCCAGGCUUCCGGCCACCCCUGCAGCCCCUACCCUCCCACCCUCUCCGCACAGACCCUUGCUGUCUUGUGGGGCUCCUGCCAGCCCCCUCCCUCCACUGCCUUCGCUCAGCCCCCUGGUCCCCACUGUACUGUACCCCCACACUCCCACGGGGCAGCUCGGAAGUCUCCUGGAGGCAACAGGGCCUUCAUGCCCACUGACCUUAGUGCUCUAGCCUGGACGCUCUGGUGACCCCUGACCUCAGGCUCCCCAGGUUUUGGCUCCUGAUGGAGCACUCUCUGCAUUUUCUGAGUGAAGGACGAAAUCUGUGAAUGAAUGAAUGAGUGAGUGAGUGAAAUACCUGGAAUCGGUCAGCAUACUGUUGGGGGUCGUAGCAGGGGCCAUCCCGAUUCCCUCCAGAAACGCUAACGUCGUUUCUGUAUCCACUACCUGCAGACAUGCCAGGCAGGCCAACCCGCGCUUCCCACUGAGCAGAAUCGCGUUUUCAUGUCUGCGAGCUGUUGGGCAGGGUUUCGUGUGUCCCCACGGAAACGCGCGGG